AAGGCCUGAUUGGGAUAACAGUGCCUCUGAUAUCCUUGGGUUAUUGAAUGGUUGGUGCCGUGGGAUAGAGGCUUUACAUAUAUAAGUGAGAAAUCAGUGCAGAUUUGAGGGUUAAUUUAGGUUGGGUUACUUUCUUCAUUAAUGUGCUUUUCUUAAAGAGAUAUAGCCUGACACAAGAGAAAUCAAUUGGUGUCAUAUAUUUUACAUUUAGUAGACUCCGGGGUACAUUCCUGAUGAUUCUCAUCUUAAUGAGUCCAUGCAGCUCUCAUUAAUACUAACAGCAGCAACCCAGAGAUGCAUACAUACCUGGAAAGGAGCAAAUGCCUUUAAAAUCAAGGCAGUAAUAAAGAAAAGAGUUGGCACUCAGAUGGAGUUACUCCAAUGUGACCUGCUAAUGUGGGUUUUAAUUGGCUCUGAAGCCUUGGCAAGUACUCUCCUUUGACGGUACAUAUGUUCCCAUAUUUACUUUUCAGUUCCCUUUUGUGCAGAAGGCACAUUUAGCCUUGCUUGCUUGGUGGCAUAGCAACUUUCACAUGCAAUAAUUACAAAUAUCUACAGAACACUUUCUCUUAGCAAGGGUAAAUUAUCUUGUGGGCAUGGCGAGCUUAGAACUAGAACUGCUCAGAGUCUCUCCAAAAAGAGUCUGUACAGAGCAGUCUAUGAACCUGGACCCUGAUACAGUAAAGCUUUAAACCUCAGAUCCUUAAAGGUUAGUUGGCACCUAACUCACAGACAUGAGUGGGAGUUAGGUUCCUAAAUACUUUAGAGGAUCUCAGCAUUUAUCUAAGUCCUUGUUUCCUGAACAGAGAUAGGAUCGAACACAUACUUAAAGUCUGGUUAGCCACCUUUGAUGAGUUGGGGCCUUAUUGAAAAUGCUUGUGUAACUAUAUAGCUAUAUUCUGCCUUGACUUAUGCCUAGUUGAAUCUCAUUGGUUUCAGAGAGUCUGAUGUGAGGGUAGGGCAAGAAACAUAGGACUUCCAGUGUUAUAAAAAAUAUGCAGAAUAAAUGUUUCAAAUAUUAAUGUCUAUACAAUACGAAUUGCUGUUACAGAUAUCAUCAGAAACAUCAUCAGGUACUGACCACUACAGAUUAGAUGGAAAAAUGGCUGGAUCAGGAAUAACAAGCCCAUGUCCAUUUAACAGUUCAUCCUAAGCGCUAUCUUUCUCUAGGAGUGGCGGAGAAUAGGAAUCUGCCCCCCAGGGAUCUGGAAGGCUGAAUCCUACUUAUAGUUAUGAAAGCAAGUUGUUUUCAGCCAAAUAGCAUCUUUUGUGGUAAGGAAAGAUUUCACUAUAAUUGCUCAGAGGCUGGAUGGAUUUUUACUUGAUGUACUUAUAUAUUUUAGAAAUAUUUGGCAGAAGGCAGGAUAUAUGAGGUGUACUUUACAGACUACCUGAAUCAGAGAUGCAUAAGCUUUCAUGAGCUCAAGAGUUCAAUUAAUCAGUAACUCUAUUUUCUGCUUGACUUCAGACUAAUGCAGUGAAAUACUUUUCUCUUUAGAAAUGGGUAUCACAUGUAUCACCAUGGUGAACUGGGUCUUACAUGGAAAAACUAAAACAGGCAAAUUAUGUAGACUGAUCAUAAUAGGUUGCAUUAUUCAACACAACAUAGCUACUUGCAGUGGCAAAAGCACAUAGAGAACAUCAUUUUUCCUACUCCAAAACUCAAGGCAUCUACCACCAGCGGAACUAAAUGAGAUGCUACAUUAGCUCUGAGGAAUAUGGGUUUUUUGACACAUACCUAAGAAGUUUAAUUGCAUCUAGAAAAGGGCAGAGGUAGACACAGAAACACACACACACACUUUGUAGUCGCAUAAAUCAGUUGCUGUUGCUACCUAAUAAAAUGCAGCAACUUGAUUCCCUGGAAUAACAUUUGAAAAAAACUAAAAAAGCAAAAACAAAUUAAACCCUAAGAAAAUAGGCUCUUUGCGAUAUAAAACCUGUCGAAGUCAGGCAUAAUUUGGAAGACCAGGAAGCUGAGGGAAUUGAAAAGAAGAUUCUCAGCUGGGGGAACCACUCCUGGAGACCCCAGGUACAAGAACUGGGGCAAAAGCCCCUUAGAAGAUAUUAAUUGCUGCACUGCAUUUUAAACAGGCUUAAGAUGCAGCAAAAGACAUAGGUUGUAUCAUAUUAAUGCACAGGCUAGGCUCAAAGUAACUGAAACCCUGCAUAGAUGGAGACUUAAUACUGCCAGUUUCUGCAUGCUGUAAGAAUAAAAUGGUAAAGUUUCAAAAACAUUGAUACUUUUAGUGCAGCGAUAAGGCUGCGAGUUUCACUGUUAUUAGUGCACGCUGCUGCUUGGGACAGAUAAAAAUUCAGAUGCCUGAAUUACACUGAUUACAGUCGCUGCUCAGGCUUUUUAUCCACUACUUUCAUCUCCUGAUUCCUUAGGAUAAGGCACUCUGCAGUUUACUUCUAAUAAUGUCAGGCAGUAGCUCAUUUGCAGAUGAGCAUGCAAAGGACAGGACCAUUUAGUGACUGCUUUGCAGGCCCCAAACCCAGCUAAGGAGGUGCUUUACAGUUUAAUUGGAUGUAACCCUGGAGUGACUGAUAGGCUUAGGAAAGGACAUAUUCCUCCACAUGCCACCUCAGGUUUCUGAUGACUUUGCAGGGUUGAUAAUAGACCUUGGCUAAUUGGCUGGCUGCCAGCUGAACCAAUGGAAAGCAGAGCCUGCCAACUUGUCCUUUUGCAAAUGAAGGGACAUCCAGGAAAAAUUUCACAUUUGCAACCGUAGAUAGCAAAAAAACUGGACAGGCCCCAAGAAGAAAAGUGGGAAGAAGCAAGUGUGAGCUCCCAAAUUUUUAUACAGAACUUGAUUCCUUCUGUUCAAAUUUAGAGGCAUUUGGAUAUGGGCCCAAUCUCUCAGUGUUGUAGCACUUAGGCCCAAAAGCCAAUGAGAGACUUAAUAACCCGUGGGACCAGGUGUCCCAGUCCAUGAUUGUCCCAGUAAAUAAAGCAACAUAUACACAGCAGACCAAAUUCAUGUCUUUAUAUCAAUUAGAUCUUGUAUUUCUUCCAUAGGCCCCUUCAUUGGUGCCAGCACAGAUGGUAUACAUGGGACUUUUCAAUUUAGGCUGGUGGACAUAAGCAAACUCUAUGGUACCGUCUGCUUCUCUAGUUCCCAGACUAAUCACCGCCUUUGCUCUCUAGUGUCACCUUUCUUGUCUUGGCUUGGACUAAACAGUACAGAAAGGAUUGCUAAAUACACCACUCUAUACAGAUGGUUCCAAAAACUUUCUGCAGCCUAUGUUCCAAGUCCUGCCGAGACCAGGACCCACAGCGGAGAAGGAAUGCCAACAGUGCAGGAUCCUAUGGGCUCCACAGGAGUUGUAUGAGGCAGCUGGAAGCAGGAAGAGGAAGUGAUGAGCAACCCUGCAGAGUCCUGCUGCUGUAAAUCUGAUUGCAAAUCCCAGAGACCUUUGGGGGCAGCAGAAAGAGGAAGUGAACACACAGCCAGAGAUCUGUGCUCUAACACCCCCCAGCUUCUGGCCUGAGCCACUGCGAGCAAGUGGCUGCAUUUCCUGAAUCAAAGGGCCAGCAAUCAGGAAGUUCAGAAGGGAAAGCAGCUCUGCUCAUAAGAUUCAAAUGGCGCAUGGUGAAUGGUUUAUUCUUGGAAUUUGUCCUCUCUCUCUAUUCAAAAGAUA
Alligator mississippiensis (American alligator) is the source of this 3642-nucleotide long non-coding RNA. RefSeq lists it as uncharacterized. The transcript has 3 exons. The record is from RefSeq and is a predicted model, not a curated record. Lineage: Eukaryota; Metazoa; Chordata; Crocodylia; Alligatoridae.